This 886-nucleotide long non-coding RNA is filed under the name Marmota monax (woodchuck). The record is from RNAcentral. Lineage: Eukaryota; Metazoa; Chordata; Mammalia; Rodentia; Sciuridae.
CCAUAAACCUUAGCCUUCAUGAGUAGCAAGCAUACUGAGCUCUGCAGGGGCCAAUGACAGGCACUGAAGGUGCAGGUGUGGAGGAUGGCUGGGUGGCACAGUGAAUGGAAGGAGAGGGAGUGGUACAUUUCCCCCCUCAGUUUAGUUCUUAAUUCAAGGUUUUCAACUUGUAGUGCAUUAAGACUACAAUUAGCAAUGAGGCUGUUUUUUUCACUUGAAGGACUGUAACCUCCCCAUUUUAGGCCUACUGCAGUUUCAAGAUUUAAUAAUUCUCAACAGCAAGACUAGGAACUCUAUCCAAUAUGUUUUUCCUUGCCCAACCCAGUGGCCUGCAGGGUCCAGAGCAGUACAGGUCUGAGAAGUAAACCCUGGGAGUGGUUUGGUGUCAGCUGGGAAAGAGCCCUUGGUGCUAAUCACGGCUCUGCCAUAGGAGCCCUCUGUCACCUUGAGCUAAUCAAUUGUUCCCUGGGACUUAGACACUUCAUCUAAUUUUCACUUAGAUUGGAUGACUUCUGGCACUUUUUCAGUUUUGGCACCUCAUCCAUGAGGGACUCCCAAUGGUGUCCCCAAGAGGUCCCUAAGACAAGCUUACAGAAAGCCCUCCUGUCCUGCUUCAGCUUCCUGGCUGCAGCCUAAGCUGUGGGAGAGCAACCCAGGAGAGGAAGCAUGCACUGGGAAACAGGCACUGGGCCUCUGCUACUUCCUCCAAGCUGCCUCAGUCUCCAGACCUACCUAGGGUGUCCCUGCUACUUCCUGCCUCUGAGGGCUGAGGUGAGACUUCCCAAGAUGACGGGGAGCUGAGUGCAGCUUUUAUGAAUUAAACUUGAAGCCCAGGUGGAAUUCUAAUGUUACUGGCUAAAUGUUCUUGCAAUUUAAGAAAUGUUCG